This 253-nucleotide ribosomal RNA is filed under the name uncultured bacterium. RNAcentral's name for it is "partial 16S ribosomal RNA". It matches the Rfam family "Bacterial small subunit ribosomal RNA", at positions 524 to 776 of the family's 1533-position model. The record is from RNAcentral.
UACGUAGGGCGCAAGCGUUGUCCGGAAUCAUUGGGCGUAAAGAGCUCGUAGGCGGCCUGUUGCGUCCGCUGUGAAAUCCCGGGGCUUAACCCCGGGCGUGCAGUGGAUACGGGCAGGCUGGAGGCAGGCAGGGGAGAACGGAAUUCCCGGUGUAGCGGUGAAAUGCGCAGAUAUCGGGAGGAACACCGGUGGCGAAGGCGGUUCUCUGGGCCUGUACUGACGCUGAGGAGCGAAAGCGUGGAGAGCGAACAGG